UACGUAGGGUGCGAGCGUUAAUCGGAAUUACUGGGCGUAAAGCGUGCGCAGGCGGUUUUACAAGCCAGAUGUGAAAUCCCCGGGCUCAACCUGGGAACUGCCUUUGUGACUGCAUAGCUAGAAUACGGUAGAGGGGGAUGGAAUUCCGCGUGUAGCAGUGAAAUGCGUAGAGAUGCGGAGGAACACCGAUGGCGAAGGCAAUCCCCUGGACCUGUACUGACGCUCAUGCACGAAAGCGUGGGGAGCAAACAGG
This 253-nucleotide ribosomal RNA is filed under the name uncultured bacterium. RNAcentral's name for it is "partial 16S ribosomal RNA". It matches the Rfam family "Bacterial small subunit ribosomal RNA", at positions 524 to 776 of the family's 1533-position model. The record is from RNAcentral.